GGAGGGUGUAGCUCAGUGGUAGAGCGUGUGCUUAGCAUGCACGAGGUCCUGGGUUCAAUCCUCAGCACCUCCG
Molecule: transfer RNA, 73 nt
Filed under: Vicugna pacos (alpaca)
Lineage: Eukaryota; Metazoa; Chordata; Mammalia; Artiodactyla; Camelidae
Description: tRNA-Ala (AGC) (tRNA-Ala-AGC-800-1)
Rfam family: tRNA
About the family: Transfer RNA (tRNA) molecules are approximately 80 nucleotides in length. Their secondary structure includes four short double-helical elements and three loops (D, anti-codon, and T loops).
Source: RNAcentral